This is a non-coding RNA of Pelobates cultripes (western spadefoot toad), 872 nucleotides long. The record is from the annotation of a GenBank genome assembly. NCBI's taxonomy places the organism in Eukaryota, Metazoa, Chordata, Amphibia, Anura, Pelobatidae.
CAGGAAUUUAAAAAGCGCCAAUAUAUUCCACAGUGCUGUAGAAUUAGGGGGAAACAGUACAAUAUACACAGACCAAAACAAACGGUAGAGAGUGCCCUGCCUGUGAGCAGAGAUGUAGCCAUUGAUGCUCUUUUAUACAAAAUGCUAGUUACAUAGACUGUCAGCUUACAAUCUAAAGUGUACUUUCCAAAACUGAACACUAGGUGGGAGUAUAGGCACAUAAAAUGGGUAAUAGUUGACCUAUAAUGUAUUUUAAAUGAGCCUGGAUACAUUAACAGAAGAUUUCAAAAUGCCUUGCUUGCCUCCAGCUUGCAGCUUGCUGAAAUGGGCAAUAUAAAAUGAAGAACCUUUAGUGGUUUUAUUAACAAUACAAAGUGCUGGGGGCGGGGCCUGACACAUCGUGGCAGAGCUCCGGGGUUGAAACCCUAAUUUGCCCGAUAAAAUUGCGAAACUCUGUCUCAAGCGACCCACACACAAGCUGUGCACUCUCCAGAACCCCUGUGACUAUGUAGCUGCAGUAAUCUCGCUGGCGGCUUCAGGCUUCAUCACGGGACAAGGUUGCAGCCUGCGGGCGGCUAGGUGGCCGCUCUCCUCGCUCCCCAGUGGUCAGAAUGGACCCAUCCUGUUUGUACCCCCUCCCUCUGGACCAGUGGGGGAUAUCCCUGUCAACAACAUGGUGCUGACCCACCUGUGCGGCACCUGACGGCUCCCGUGAAGAUGACUCCCUGUGACUGGCGGGCUAAGAUGGGUGCCGAGGAAGUACCCACAGCCUUGGGCCUUACAUGCAGAAUGCCUGGAUAGGGCUUUCAAGCUCUUGUGGUCCCAAUUCUGGCUCCGAAUCGAAGGCCAAAGGACGAGAUCCAAGGCAGCAG